This 252-nucleotide ribosomal RNA is filed under the name uncultured prokaryote. Its description in RNAcentral is "partial 16S ribosomal RNA". It matches the Rfam family "Bacterial small subunit ribosomal RNA", at positions 524 to 774 of the family's 1533-position model. The record is from RNAcentral.
UACGGAGGAUGCAAGCGUUAUCCGGAUUCAUUGGGUUUAAAGGGUGCGUAGGCGGACUAUUAAGUCAGUGGUGAAAGCCUGCAGCUUAACUGCAGAACUGCCAUUGAUACUGAUAGUCUUGAGUUUGGUUAAGGUAGGCGGAAUGUGUAAUGUAGCGGUGAAAUGCUUAGAUAUUACACAGAACACCAAUUGCGUAGGCAGCUUACUGAGACGACACUGACGCUGAGGCACGAAAGCGUGGGGAGUCGAACA